AUUGAACGCUGGCGGCAGGCCUAACACAUGCAAGUCGAACGAGUGGCGGACGGGUGAGUAAUGUCUGGGAAACUGCCUGAUGGAGGGGGAUAACUACUGGAAAAGGUAGCUAAUACCGCAUACCAUCGGAUGUGCCCAAGUGGGAUUAGCGAGUAGGGGGGGGAAAGGCUCACCUAGCCGACGAUCCCUAGCCGGUCUGAGAGGAUGACCAGCCAAACUGGAACUGAGACACGGGCCAGACUCCGACGGGAGGCAGCAGUGGGGAAUAUUGAACAAUGGGCGCAAGCCUGAUGCAGCCAUGCCGCGUGUAUGAAGAAGGCCGUCGGGUUGGAAAGUACUUUCAGCGGGGAGGCGUUACCCGCAGAAGAAGCACCGGCUAACUCCGUGCCAGCAGCCGCGGUAAUUC
RNAcentral lists this ribosomal RNA (406 nucleotides) under uncultured bacterium. RNAcentral describes it as "partial 16S ribosomal RNA". It matches the Rfam family "Bacterial small subunit ribosomal RNA", at positions 29 to 526 of the family's 1533-position model. The record is from RNAcentral.